RNAcentral lists this long non-coding RNA (293 nucleotides) under Hordeum vulgare. Its description in RNAcentral is "long non-coding RNA (HVUL_LNC011916)". Lineage: Eukaryota; Viridiplantae; Streptophyta; Magnoliopsida; Poales; Poaceae. The record is from RNAcentral.
UACAAGGAUGACGACGAGGAGGAGGAAGAAGGUCGCCAGCCAGGCCUUGGGCUGAAGGUAACAACAAUUGGGCCACUCUCUCUCUUUCUGGCACUCUUUGAAAAAAAAUCUCAGGUUUUGGAGUAAAGCGAGUGGCUAAAAGAAAAAGAAAAAAGAAAAUAAAAAUAUAUUUGGGCUUCUAAAAUCAUGCUCCAAUUUUGAAAAAUAACUUGGGCAUUUUUGAAGAGUAAAAAUGAAACCCUGCUAUUUUAAAAUGAGGCUCUGUUUUAAAUGAAACAAAAGGAAAAUAAAAA